Long non-coding RNA from Magnolia sinica, 514 nucleotides. RefSeq lists it as uncharacterized. The record is from RefSeq and is a predicted model, not a curated record. Lineage: Eukaryota; Viridiplantae; Streptophyta; Magnoliopsida; Magnoliales; Magnoliaceae. The transcript is spliced from 3 exons.
AAAGACCUGGUACCUUUUGUUGUUGUAAGUUCCUAAUUAGUUUGUUUCUGUAUUUGUGUCGGAGCUAUCCGGAUGUUGAGCGAGGGUCCCUGGAAGGUGGGAACCGCUGUUAUGAUCUUGAUGAAGCUGUCCAUUUCCUAUGGACAACAAUAUGGGUGGCCUGGCCAUUUGGAAAGGCCCGUGUUUAUGUAUUAUCUCGAAAUUGAUGAAGCAGAUCCGGAUGUGCAUCGGAGCUAUCCGGAUGUUGAGCGGGGGUCUCUGAAACCUUAUUGAGGACAUGCAGAAAGCAAAGGAAGAGAUGGAAAAACUGAAAGGCGAGGCACAAGCUAACAAGGAUCACAUGCUAUAGUAUAAAGAAAUAGCACAAGUGAAUGAAGUUGCAUUGAAACAAAUUGAAUAUGCUCAUGAAAAAUUCAAGGCUGAGGUACAUCCCUGUAUACUGAACCUCAUUUUUUGAAAGUUGCAAUCCCUGUUUUUAGUGUUUUUUUUUUUGUCUUUCUUUCUUUUAAGAUGU